UUAGAGUUUGAUCCUGGCUCAGAUUCCCUUANNGNGGCAUGCCUUACACAUGCAAGUCGAACGGCAGCACGGGAGCUUGCUCCUGGNGGCGAGUGGCGAACGGGUGAGUAAUACAUCGGAACGUACCCAGGAGUGGGGGAUAACGUAGCGAAAGUUACGCUAAUACCGCAUAUUCUGUGAGCAGGAAAGCGGGGGAUCGCAAGACCUCGCGCUCUUGGAGCGGCCGANGNCGGAUUAGCUAGNUGGUGAGGUAAAAGCUCACCANGGAGACNAUCCGUAGCAGGNCUGAGAGGAUGANCUGCCACACUGGGACUGAAGACNCGGCCCAGACUUUUUUUGGAGGCNCCUNCUGGNGAAUUUUGGACAAUNGGGGGNAACACUGAUCCANCCAUGCCGNGA
This 399-nucleotide ribosomal RNA is filed under the name uncultured bacterium. RNAcentral's name for it is "partial 16S ribosomal RNA". It matches the Rfam family "Bacterial small subunit ribosomal RNA", at positions 1 to 402 of the family's 1533-position model. The record is from RNAcentral.